This 842-nucleotide ribosomal RNA is filed under the name uncultured Bacillota bacterium. RNAcentral describes it as "bacterial SSU rRNA". It matches the Rfam family "Bacterial small subunit ribosomal RNA", at positions 56 to 934 of the family's 1533-position model. The record is from RNAcentral. Lineage: Bacteria; Bacillati; Bacillota.
UGCAGUCGAACGAGAAAGUCCGCAAGGAUGAGUAAAGUGGCGUACGGGUGAGUAACACGUGGAUAACCUGCCCUUUAGUGGGGAAUACCGCUGGGAAACCGGCGACAAUACCGCAUAAGCUCGAGAGAGGAAAGCAGCAAUGCGCUGAAGGAGGGGUCCGCGGCCGAUUAGCUAGUUGGCAGGGUAAAAGCCUACCAAGGCUGUGAUCGGUAGCCGGCCUGAGAGGGCACACGGCCACACUGGCACUGAAACACGGGCCAGACUCCUACGGGAGGCAGCAGUGGGGAAUCUUGCACAAUGGGGGAAACCCUGAUGCAGCGACGCCGCGUGAGCGAUGAAGCCCUUCGGGGUGUAAAGCUCUUUCGGCAGGGACGAUUAUGACGGUACCUGCAGAAGCAGCUGCGGCUAACUACGUGCCAGCAGCCGCGGUAAUACGUAGGCAGCAAGCGUUGUUCGGAGUUACUGGGCGUAAAGGGUGCGUAGGCGGCUUCUUAAGUCUGGUGUGAAAUCUCCCGGCUCAACUGGGAGGGUGCGCCGGAUACUGAGGGGCUAGAGUAUGGGAGAGGAAAGUGGAAUUCCAGGUGUAGCGGUGAAAUGCGUAGAUAUCUGGAGGAACACCGGUGGUGUAAACGGCUUUCUGGACCAUUACUGACGCUGAUGCACGAAAGCGUGGGUAGCAAACAGGAUUAGAUACCCUGGUAGUCCACGCCCUAAACGAUGCAUAUUUGGUGUGGGCCAUUCAGUUGGUCCGUGCCGGAGCUAACGCGUUAAAUAUGCCGCCUGGGGAGUACAGUCGCAAGGCUGAAACUCAAAGGAAUUGACGGGGGCCCGCACAAGCGGUG